This 227-nucleotide unclassified non-coding RNA is filed under the name uncultured Basidiomycota. RNAcentral's name for it is "sequence contains ITS1". The record is from RNAcentral. Lineage: Eukaryota; Fungi; Basidiomycota.
UUGAAUAAACUUGGUGGGCUGUUGCUGGCUUUACAAAGCAUGUGCACGCCUGCUAACUUUUAUCAAUCCACCUGUGCACUAUCUGUAGUCUUGGGAAGUUAACAGCCAGAUAAAGCCUUUGUGGCCUUUGGGUUGUAAUCAACUUCUCUGACUAUGUUUUUGCAUUCAUCAUGUAACAUGUAGUCAGAAUGGUACACCAAGGCCUUUUGUGCCUAUAAAUAUCAUUA